AACUUUUAGCAACGGAUCUCUUGGCUCUCGCAUCGAUGAAGAACCCAGCGAAAUGCGAUACGUAAUGUGAAUUGCAGAAUUCAGUGAAUCAUCGAAUCUUUGAACGCACCUUGCGCCCCUUGGUAUUCCGAGGGGCACACCCGUUUGAGUGUCGCUAAAAUCUCAACCUUCUCGGUUUCUUCUGGACACCGAAGGAGGCCUGGACUUUGCAGGCGUGUGCUGGCGUCUCUCGCCAACGCCUCUCAAAUGAAUUAGUGGGGGCCUCUUUGCCGAUCCUCGACAUGUGAUAAGAUGUUUCCAUGUCUUGGUUUAUGGCUCUGUUGCUUUUGGGACCCGCUUCUAACCGUCUCAACGAGACAACGUUCGAGCGUGUCGAACACUCUUGAACCCACGAACCCUUGACCUCAAAUCGGGUGAGACUACCCGCUGAACUUAAGCAUAUCAAUAAGCGGAGGCU
RNAcentral lists this unclassified non-coding RNA (457 nucleotides) under uncultured Lactarius. Its description in RNAcentral is "sequence contains ITS2". The stretch from base 1 to 154 matches the Rfam family "5.8S ribosomal RNA". Lineage: Eukaryota; Fungi; Basidiomycota; Agaricomycetes; Russulales; Russulaceae. The record is from RNAcentral.